GCCUGGGUGGCUCAGUUGGUUAAGCAUCUGACUUCAGCUCAGGUCAUGAUCUCGCCAUCCGUGAGUUCGAGCCCCACGUCAGGCU
Felis catus (domestic cat) is the source of this 85-nucleotide transfer RNA. It matches the Rfam family "tRNA". Rfam says of the family: Transfer RNA (tRNA) molecules are approximately 80 nucleotides in length. Their secondary structure includes four short double-helical elements and three loops (D, anti-codon, and T loops). The record is from Rfam. NCBI's taxonomy places the organism in Eukaryota, Metazoa, Chordata, Mammalia, Carnivora, Felidae.